GCGAGCGAACGGGGAGCAGCCCAGAGCCUGAAUCAGUGUGUGUGUUAGUGGAAGCGUCUGGAAAGGCGCGCGAUACAGGGUGACAGCCCCGUACACAAAAAUGCACAUGCUGUGAGCUCGAUGAGUAGGGCGGGACACGUGGUAUCCUGUCUGAAUAUGGGGGGACCAUCCUCCAAGGCUAAAUACUCCUGACUGACCGAUAGUGAACCAGUACCGUGAGGGAAAGGCGAAAAGAACCCCGGCGAGGGGAGUGAAAAAGAACCUGAAACCGU
This 272-nucleotide ribosomal RNA is filed under the name Escherichia coli. RNAcentral describes it as "partial 23S ribosomal RNA". It matches the Rfam family "Bacterial large subunit ribosomal RNA", at positions 249 to 559 of the family's 2925-position model. The record is from RNAcentral. Lineage: Bacteria; Pseudomonadati; Pseudomonadota; Gammaproteobacteria; Enterobacterales; Enterobacteriaceae.